RNAcentral lists this ribosomal RNA (484 nucleotides) under uncultured bacterium. RNAcentral's name for it is "partial 16S ribosomal RNA". It matches the Rfam family "Bacterial small subunit ribosomal RNA", at positions 30 to 507 of the family's 1533-position model. The record is from RNAcentral.
AUUGAACGCUGGCGGCAGGCCUAACACAUGCAAGUCGAGCGGAUGAAGUGAGCUUGCUCCUGGAUUCAGCGGCGGACGGGUGAGUAAUGCCUAUGAAUCUGCCUGGUAGUGGGGGAUAACGUCCGGAAACGGGCGCUAAUACCGCAUACGUCCUGAGGGAGAAAGUGGGGGAUCUUCGGACCUCACGCUAUCAGAUGAGCCUAGGUCGGAUUAGCUAGUUGGUGGGGUAAAGGCCUACCAAGGCGACGAUCCGUAACUGGUCUGAGAGGAUGAUCAGUCACACUGGAACUGAGACACGGUCCAGACUCCUACGGGAGGCAGCAGUGGGGAAUAUUGGACAAUGGGCGAAAGCCUGAUCCAGCCAUGCCGCGUGUGUGAAGAAGGUCUUCGGAUUGUAAAGCACUUUAAGUUGGGAGGAAGGGCAGUAAGUUAAUACCUUGCUGUUUUGACGGUACCAACAGAAUAAGCACCGGCUAACUUCGUG